Molecule: transfer RNA, 75 nt
Filed under: Schistocerca americana (American grasshopper)
Lineage: Eukaryota; Metazoa; Arthropoda; Insecta; Orthoptera; Acrididae
Description: tRNA-Thr
Rfam family: tRNA
About the family: Transfer RNA (tRNA) molecules are approximately 80 nucleotides in length. Their secondary structure includes four short double-helical elements and three loops (D, anti-codon, and T loops).
Source: RNAcentral
GCCCGCGGUGGCCCAGAUGGAUAGAGCGUCUGCCUUGUAAGCACGAGAUCCCGGGUUCGAGUCCCGGUCGGGGCA